UUCAGUGAGGAUGUAUGUUUGUUUUUUCGUCUUGUUCUCCUGGACUCACGUGACCCGAGCAGGGUUGGGUGGCUAACAGGAGUGCAGGAUCUAAGGAAUUACACAGCGCUGGAGGCUUUCCACCCAG
MicroRNA precursor from Equus caballus (horse), 127 nucleotides. NCBI's taxonomy places the organism in Eukaryota, Metazoa, Chordata, Mammalia, Perissodactyla, Equidae. The record is from Ensembl.